GAUGAACGCUAGCGGCAGGCUUAAUACAUGCAAGUCAAGGGGGUAGCAAUACAACCGGCGCACGGGUGAGUAACGCGUACACAACAUGCCAUAUACUGGGGUAUAGCUUUGGGAAACUGAAGGUAAUCCCCCAUAACAUUGCGAGAGGGCAUCUGAUUGCAAUUAAAGUUUCGGCGGUAUAUGAUUGGUGUGCGUUUGAUUAGCUAGUUGGUAGGGUAACGGCUACCAAGGCGACGAUCAAUAGCUGGCGUGAGAGCGCGACCAGCCACACUGGGAACUGAGACACGGUCCAGACUCCUACGGGAGGCAGCAGUAGGGAAUAUUGGACAAUGGAGGAAACUCUGAUCCAGCCAUGCCGCGUGAUAGAUGAAGGCCCUCUGGGUUGUAAAUAUCUUUAUCUGGGAAGAAACUCCUCUAUUCUUAGAGGCCUGACGGUACCAGAGGAAUAAGCACCGGCUAACUCCGUGCCAGCAGCCGCGGUAA
Molecule: ribosomal RNA, 483 nt
Filed under: uncultured bacterium
Lineage: Bacteria
Description: bacterial SSU rRNA
Rfam family: Bacterial small subunit ribosomal RNA
Source: RNAcentral